This 2229-nucleotide long non-coding RNA is filed under the name Gossypium barbadense (sea-island cotton). RNAcentral's name for it is "long non-coding RNA (GBAR_LNC000204)". Lineage: Eukaryota; Viridiplantae; Streptophyta; Magnoliopsida; Malvales; Malvaceae. The record is from RNAcentral.
AGUUCUCUUUUUCUCUCUUUAAAAAAACUAUUGAGAUCAAAGGUUGGAGGGAACGAAAGUAUUUCUUUAAGCUGGAUCUAAGACCCUGGAUUUUAUCGGUGAUUUCCCCGUGCCAAGGUAAGUCCUAUUGCUUUAUAAAAAUAGAUCUGUAUGAGUGCAAGAAGAAAUAAGGCUUUGUUAAAGAAUUAUUUAGGUAAGAUGAUUGUAAAGGUUAUUUGGAUGAGCGUUAAUGGUAAAUCUUAUGUUUUUACAAAGAAAUGGUCGUUACAGUUCUAAAAAGACCUUAGGCCUGUAGCCCAAGCUACCAAACAUCUUUACUAAGUGAGUCAUUAGGCUGACUCUUGCAUGUAGUAUGUAUGUUCGAAGAACUUCUAUGCUAAGUGACCAAAUAGUGAAAAUGAAACGUUCAUGAUCAUGCAUGUAUGAAAUGUAUGAAUUUUGAUGGUCUAAGUAUGAUGCAUGAGUCUGAAUGAUUAUGGUGUGCAUAUAAGUCUGAAAGCAUGUCACAUCCCAGAAAUCGGGUUAGAUGAAAUUGGGUUAGUGAUACCAAGAGUGGUCACAUCUUGAUUUUGAGUUAUUAUUGUGAAAAUUUUAAAAAGUGAAGUGAUCUGGUUCAAUGGCUAAGUGUAAUGUGUGUGGGUCAGAGGUCUUGUGUUCAAAUAACUUUCCUUUAAUUUUUAGUAAUUUUUUUUGUAACCCUUAUCCAUGACCAUCUGGCAUAAAUAAUAUUUUCACUUAAUUGAUGAUAAGAAUGAGUUUGUUGGUUUAGUGGCAAGGAGUAAGCUUACUCUUUAGUCCUGUGUUCGAAUUCUCAUGUGUGCAAAGUGGAAAUUAUGUUUUUGUUUUAAAUUUUGAAGAAAAAUAUGUUUGGAUAAGGAUUAGAUAAUGGAGUUGUGGAGAGUUUAAAUUUGUUUAAAUUUUUCAUUUUAUUUUAUUCUCUUAAAAAAUAAUAUUAAUAUAAUAAAAAUAAUAAUUAUUUUCCCUAAAUUUUCCCCGCUCACGUUCCCACUUUCUUUUUCUUUAUUCUUUAUUCUUUUUGUUUUUAUUUAUUUAUUUUUUCUUUCUUUCUUUCUGCCGUUUAGAUUUGUUUUUGGUUUUCAAAAUGUCUUUCGCAAAUUUGUUUUUCUUCUCAAAGAUAGCUAUCGUGCAAAGCCUUUCUCAUUUCCUUCUCUUUUGAUCGAAAUGCAGUGCUUUUAAGGUGUAGGAUAAGACCCGAGAUGUGACAAUUGUCAACAUGUGUCAGUACGUGAUGUAGUUAAGGUACGUGAAAAAUGUAAAUACGAUCUGUGUUCUAUUAACUCUGAAAAUGUAAUUAUGUUUGAUUACGCAUGACAUCUUUAUGUGGAAUAACUGUUAGCAUAAGAAAUAAGAUAUGCUAUGAUCUGUAUAAGUUAUAUUUGUAUUAUGCUCUGUAAAAUAUGUGUUUAGAUAUGCAUGGCAUGCCACCUAUGUGUUAUGCAUGUAAGUUAAUAUGGUUUUGCAUUUGCAUUGGGGUGGGUUUUGAUAUGAUGAUGGAAGUGUUUUCUGGCAGUAUUACUGCAAUUUUUGUGGUUAAAUUGCAAUAUCUGUCUAUUAACUCAGCUGCAUCAUUAUGAGUGGUAUACGACCACAACCCGGUGUAAUUGGAUGGAUGUACUAUUAUAGUCCUAUUUGGGGCGAUUGGUUGGACGGAGUUGGUGUGUAGCGGAUGGGGGUAGGAUUUGUUCUGUUAUAAUAUGAUAUUAUGAUCUGAUAUAUAUAUUUCUAAAAUUUAUAAUUGUUCAACACGAUAUAUGUUUUUGGAUUUGUUGUGACAUUUUAAUAUGUUAUUUGCAUAUGUGUACGUUAUGAGAACGAAUCUAUUUCGAUAUUGGUGUCUGCAUUUGUAUUUGAUUAUAAAUAUAUAUCUGAUUCUAUAUGUGAGUAUAUGUUAAAUCUGUAACUGAUAACGUGUCCGUUAUUUAUGUAUAUAUGGUUGUGGGUCGAGUCACACAUUGGGCUUCUAGCUUACUCAUUUCUUUGAUUCAUUUUAGGUAUACUUCCGACUUAAGACUUGGCGGCAACUUCGGAGCUCAGUUCACAUAAUUUUGUAUAAGUUGAUUUGGUUUUUAAUUUCGGACUUUACGAAUUUCCAGAUUUCAAUUUGUUUUGGAAUGUUAAAUUCUUGGUUUUGGUAAUUUUUUCGUGGAUGUUUUAUUUAAAACUUGUAAACUCACGCAAGAUGACAUAACUAAUGGAUCUUAUGAUUUU